UGACUUACCUGGCAAGGGAAAUACAGUGAUCCCAAAGGUGGUUUUCCCAGAGUGAGUCUCAACCAUUAUACUUAGGAUGUGCUGACCCCCAUUAUCUUCCAAAUAUAAUACAAUCCAAAGA
This 121-nucleotide small nuclear RNA is filed under the name Nannospalax galili (Upper Galilee mountains blind mole rat). RNAcentral describes it as "U1 spliceosomal RNA (ENSNGAG00000002987.1)". It matches the Rfam family "U1 spliceosomal RNA". Rfam says of the family: U1 is a small nuclear RNA (snRNA) component of the spliceosome (involved in pre-mRNA splicing). Its 5' end forms complementary base pairs with the 5' splice junction, thus defining the 5' donor site of an intron. There are significant differences in sequence and secondary structure between metazoan and yeast U1 snRNAs, the latter being much longer (568 nucleotides as compared to 164 nucleotides in human). Lineage: Eukaryota; Metazoa; Chordata; Mammalia; Rodentia; Spalacidae. The record is from RNAcentral.